CGUAGGAUCCGAGCGUUGUCCGGAUUUACUGGGUGUAAAGGGUGCGCAGGCGGACUGGUAAGUCAGAGGUGAAAUCUCGUCGCUCAACGACGAAACUGCCUUUGAUACUAUCAGUCUUGAAUCCGGUAGAGAUCUGUGGAAUUCCGAGUGUAGCAGUGAAAUGUGUAGAUAUUCGGAAGAACACCAGUGGCGAAGGCAGCAGAUUGGGCCGGUAUUGACGCUCAGGCACGAAAGCAUGGGGAUCAAACAGGAUUAGAGACCCCUGGUAGUCCAUGCCCUAAACGAUGUUCACUUGAUGUCUGCCCUCAGGGUAGGUGUCGAAGCUAACGCGAUAAGUGAACCACCUGGGGAGGUACGCUCGCAAGGGUG
RNAcentral lists this ribosomal RNA (369 nucleotides) under uncultured organism. RNAcentral's name for it is "bacterial SSU rRNA". It matches the Rfam family "Bacterial small subunit ribosomal RNA", at positions 526 to 896 of the family's 1533-position model. The record is from RNAcentral.